GUGCUAGCUUCGGCAGCACGUAUACUAAAAUUGGAACGAUACAGAGAAGAUUAGCAUGGCCCCUGAACAAGGAUGACAUGCAAAUUCGUGAAGCAUUCCAUAUUUUA
This 107-nucleotide small nuclear RNA is filed under the name Propithecus coquereli (Coquerel's sifaka). Lineage: Eukaryota; Metazoa; Chordata; Mammalia; Primates; Indriidae. The record is from RNAcentral.